GAUUCGAGAAAUAAUAAGAGUGGGAGCCAAAGUGUUUUGACAAAGAUACAUGUAUUUUCGGAAAGAAACUCUCAUUUGUUGGCGAGCGGAACAAGGUAACGUGCUGAUGGUCAAUACAAAUGGAUCAUGCCUUUAACCUGAUGGCAAAGCCGCGACAGGUAAGAUUAUUAGGAAUGCCCGGGUGAUUGCUUGGUGGCGUUUACAGCUAACAUUACUCGGGCUGAGAUGCGAGGAGCGGUCACUUUACAGCUAGAUUUCCAGUGCGCGAUUAAGAGCGGUCCAUCCCAUAACUUUUGACAUAUGAUGUGUAUUUUGAAGUUCAACAACUUCUUAACAGAGACUGGACGGUGCGUAUAUCCCAUAUCUUCCGUGAAGGCAAUCGCAUUGUAAAUGCCCUUGUCCAGCAUGUGCAUUCUCUUUCAUUUGAUUAUCAUUUUCUUUCUAGUCUCCCAAUGUUAUAAGUUGUUCGAUAUAUUCACCAAUUAUUCAGUAUAUUGUGGGUGUUUCUCUUCCCCGAUUUGAUUUUUAAUAACAACUAAGACUUUGAGUCCGCUUCUUAUAAAACGGUAUUGUGGCGGUGAUCGGCAGCUAAUAAUGUUGUGAAUUCUUUGUCAAUUAUGAUUAGUAUUAUAGUUAUUUGGAUGGUUAGAGUUGCAGUGCAGGUCUCGACAGCG
Molecule: long non-coding RNA, 674 nt
Filed under: Linum usitatissimum (flax)
Lineage: Eukaryota; Viridiplantae; Streptophyta; Magnoliopsida; Malpighiales; Linaceae
Description: long non-coding RNA (LUSI_LNC005964)
Source: RNAcentral